UAUACACACUGCAUUCAUUAUAUACACACACUGCAUUCAUUAUAUAUACACACACAAACGCACACACUGCAUUCAUUAUAUAUACACACACACUGCAUUCAUUAUAUACACACACACAACACACACUCUGUAUUCAUUCUAUACACACACUGUAAAUAAAUAUUCAAUUAAUGUAAUUUUAUUUAGACAUUUACCAGUAGCUGCUGCAUUUCCCACCCUAGGCUUAUACUCACGUCAAUAAGUUUUCCCAGUUUUUUGUGGUAAAAUUAGGGGCCUCGGCUUAUAUUCGGGUCGGCUUAUACUCGAGUAUAUACGGUACCACAGUUUUAAAAAUAAGGUACAGCUGUACAAUGCACUAGUUUAAAGAUAUCAAAGCUUAAAUGAAUCACAGCAUAAAAUUACAACUGCAUAAUGUACCACGGUAAAAAAAAAAGGCAAAUAAAGUAAUGAAG
Pelobates cultripes (western spadefoot toad) is the source of this 452-nucleotide non-coding RNA. Lineage: Eukaryota; Metazoa; Chordata; Amphibia; Anura; Pelobatidae. The record is from the annotation of a GenBank genome assembly.